Molecule: ribosomal RNA, 285 nt
Filed under: uncultured bacterium
Lineage: Bacteria
Description: partial 16S ribosomal RNA
Rfam family: Bacterial small subunit ribosomal RNA
Source: RNAcentral
CGGCCUACGGGACGCAGCAGUAGGGAAUAUUGCUCAAUGAGGGAAACCCUGAAGCAGCAACGCCGCGUGGAGGAUGAAGGUUUUCGGAUUGUAACCUCCUUUUGUUAGAGAAGAUAAUGACGGUAUCUAACGAAUAAGCACCGGCUAACUCCGUGCCAGCAGCCGCGGUAAUACGGAGGGUGCAAGCGUUACUCGGAAUCACUGGGCGUAAAGAGCGCGUAGGCGGGAUAGCACGUCAGAUGUGAAAUCCUAUGGCUUAACCAUAGAACUGCAUUUGAUACUGUU